GAUAAAAUCAUUAUGUAAGUACACAUACCAUUGCAUUUCACAAUUUAAACAUUUUUUAAGGGUCAUCGACACCGCUGGGAAAUUUUUUUCCAUACAAAUCCAACCUAAUAAAUAACUCAAAGGUAUGGAUUUCUAUGACAUAGUUCAUUAAAAGUAGAAGUCACUGGGUGUUCAGGAUCAUUAAUGAUAAUCUGUUGCAUGACACCUACAUGUACAUUUGUAUUUCUUAGUAAGUAAGUGUAAAAUUUUGAUAUAUCUAAUUAUCUAAUGCAUGUAUUAUAUUUUGUAGCAAAUGGAUAUAAUACAGAAGUUUCAAAGAUCUGUUUUGAUGUAGCCUGAAGAUUUUGUAAUGAAUGAUCAAGGAUCCAAAAGUUCUUCGCGGAGUUCAAAGACAGUUGCAAUGUGGUUGCUAAUUUAGUGACAUAUUAAGAAAGAAGUUCAAACAAGCAUUGUCAUGGGAAAACAUGAAAAAGGAAGAAGUUGGAGGUGGACAAAAAUCAGGAUGAAUAUACUAGAGAAACUAUUAAAGCACAGAAGAAUGACAACAAUAUAAAUCUAAAUGUAAUCAUUCAAGGAAUUAAAUUCAUUUUUAAUCUCGAAACUGGUU
Magallana angulata is the source of this 607-nucleotide long non-coding RNA. RefSeq lists it as uncharacterized. The record is from RefSeq and is a predicted model, not a curated record. The transcript is spliced from 3 exons. Lineage: Eukaryota; Metazoa; Mollusca; Bivalvia; Ostreida; Ostreidae.